RNAcentral lists this long non-coding RNA (275 nucleotides) under Mytilus galloprovincialis (Mediterranean mussel). Lineage: Eukaryota; Metazoa; Mollusca; Bivalvia; Mytilida; Mytilidae. The record is from RNAcentral.
AUUUUUCUUACAUUUGACAUAAGCACCUGUUUCAUUUAAAAAACUAAGAAAAACAUAACUAUGAUGUCAUAACAUUUUCAAAUAUGGCUGUAACAACUAUAUGUAAUAAUACUAUCAAGAGAAAAGAAGAAGUUAGUGGGUAAUUUGUUUUUUAAUUACACUUCAUGCAUAAUAUCAGAGAAUUCAGACUAUUUGGCAUUAUUCGAAAACAAGAGUAACGAACAUUCUUAAGUAUAUCAAGUUGUUAUACCUGCUCUACUUCCAAUAAAAUAAUA